Long non-coding RNA from Pimephales promelas (fathead minnow), 237 nucleotides. RefSeq lists it as uncharacterized. Lineage: Eukaryota; Metazoa; Chordata; Actinopteri; Cypriniformes; Leuciscidae. The record is from RefSeq and is a predicted model, not a curated record.
CACAUUCUCCUGACUGCAGAAGAACAUUCAGCACAAAUGAGGACCUCCGUCAUUCCCUUACUUCUGCUUACUUCUAAUUAGUUCCCGGAAGAAUGUUUGCCAGUUCUUUAAAGUCACUCCACUUCGCAUAACCCGGUGACAUGACGUACACAACUAUUGUGAAUUAGUUGAUUUAAAGGACGGGCCAGCUAUAGCCUGAAGAUGUUUCACAGCAGGGUUUGCAUUCUCCGUCUUGUU